Molecule: ribosomal RNA, 492 nt
Filed under: uncultured bacterium
Lineage: Bacteria
Description: partial 16S ribosomal RNA
Rfam family: Bacterial small subunit ribosomal RNA
Source: RNAcentral
AGUGAACGCUGGCGGUAGGCCUAACACAUGCAAGUCGAACGGCAGCACAGUAAGAGCUUGCUCUUACGGGUGGCGAGUGGCGGACGGGUGAGGAAUACAUCGGAAUCUACUUUUUCGUGGGGGAUAACGUAGGGAAACUUACGCUAAUACCGCAUACGACCUACGGGUGAAAGCAGGGGAUCUUCGGACCUUGCGCGAUUGAAUGAGCCGAUGUCGGAUUAGCUAGUUGGCGGGGUAAAGGCCCACCAAGGCGACGAUCCGUAGCUGGUCUGAGAGGAUGAUGAGGCAGACUGGAACUGAGACACGGUCGAGACUACUACGGGAGGCAGCAGUGGGGAAUAUUGGACGAUGGGCGAAAGCCUGAUCCAGCCAUGCCGCGUGUGUGAAGAAGGUCUUCGGAUUGUAAAGCAGUUUAAGUUGGGAGGAAGGGAAGUAAGUUAAUAACUUGCGGUUUUGACGUUACCAACAGAAUAAGCACCGGCUAACUUCGUG